UGAGGAAUAUUGGGCAAUGCCCGCAAGGGUGACCCAGCAACGCCGCGUGGAGGAUGAAUGUCGUAAGAUUGUAAACUCCUGUUAGAGGGGAAGAAUAGUACCGGUUGGACCGGUAUAUGACUGUACCCUCAGAGAAAGCCCCGGCUAACUACGUGCCAGCAGCCGCGGUAAUACGUAGGGGGCAAGCGUUGUCCGGAUUUACUGGGUGUAAAGGGUGCUCAGGCGGAUUUGUAAGUCAGAGGUGAAAUCUUACAGCUUAACUGUGAAACUGCCUUUGAUACUGCAAGCCUAGAGUAUGGAAGAGAGUGAUGGAAUAUCUGGUGUAGCAGUGAAAUGCGUAGAUAUCAGAUAGAACACCAAUGGCGAAGGCAGUCACUUGGUCCAUUACUGACGCUAAAGCACGAAAGCGUGGGUAGCAAAC
Molecule: ribosomal RNA, 421 nt
Filed under: uncultured bacterium
Lineage: Bacteria
Description: bacterial SSU rRNA
Rfam family: Bacterial small subunit ribosomal RNA
Source: RNAcentral